UCCCCGGUAGCUCAGUUGGUAGAGCGGUCGGCUGUUAACCGAUUGGUCGCAGGUUCGAGUCCUGCCCGGGGAG
This is a non-coding RNA of Nitrospirae bacterium 13_1_40CM_62_7, 73 nucleotides long. The record is from Rfam. Lineage: Bacteria; Pseudomonadati; Nitrospirota.